GACGAACGCUGGCGGCGUGCUUAACACAUGCAAGUCGAGCGGUAAGGCCCUUUCAGGGGUACACGAGCGGCGAACGGGUGAGUAACACGUGGGUGACCUGCCCUUAGCUCUGGGAUAAGCCUGGGAAACUGGGUCUAAUACCGGAUAUGACUCCAUGACGCAUGUUGUGGGGUGGAAAGCCUUGUGCGGCUAGGGAUGGGCCCGCGGCCUAUCAGCUUGUUGGUGGGGUGAUGGCCACCAAGGCGACGACGGGUAGCCGGCCUGAGAGGGCGACCGGCCACACUGGGACUGAGACACGGCCCAGACUCCUACGGGAGGCAGCAGUGGGGAAUCUUGCGCAAUGGGCGAAAGCCUGACGCAGCGACGCUGCGUGAGGGAUGACGGCCUGG
Molecule: ribosomal RNA, 389 nt
Filed under: uncultured bacterium
Lineage: Bacteria
Description: bacterial SSU rRNA
Rfam family: Bacterial small subunit ribosomal RNA
Source: RNAcentral